UUUUAAUUUUAUUAAAUUUAUUUCAUCUAAUGAAAAAAUAAUGCUCAACUUCUGCAUUUACUAUCCACCAGAUGUUUGGGAGAUGCAGUCCGACGAUCCCUUUUCUCAGUAUUUAUGUUUAUUGCACUUCACACUCACAAUGAAGCUUUCGAAUUCUAUUUGGCCAUUUGGUUCACAACCACCGAACCUUUCUCGUGGAUCCGUAACUCACUUCAUUUUUAAUGCAGUUUUGUGAAAAUUUCUGUCAUUCAGUGUGGGUUGUAUUUAUACUAGUUUUUUCAGAUAAGCUGGAAAUACCACCAUUAAUCACUGAAGAUACUCCCGCUGAUUUUGAAGAACUUACGGUGAUUGUUUUUGAAAGUGAGGCGCUUUGCCAUAAAAUGUUGCAAAGACUUGAAACAAAUACAAAUAAUAUGUGCGAAACAAAAGAAAUUCUAAAGGAAACGAGUGAACAAAUCUCCAACAUGAAAACGUCAUCAAAUCUGACAAAUCAAAAAGAAAACAGUAAUAGAAGAUAUGCCGCCAGACCACAGCUAAACAACU
This is a long non-coding RNA of Zophobas morio, 543 nucleotides long. RefSeq lists it as uncharacterized. The transcript is spliced from 3 exons. The record is from RefSeq and is a predicted model, not a curated record. NCBI's taxonomy places the organism in Eukaryota, Metazoa, Arthropoda, Insecta, Coleoptera, Tenebrionidae.